This 565-nucleotide ribosomal RNA is filed under the name uncultured bacterium. Its description in RNAcentral is "partial 16S ribosomal RNA". It matches the Rfam family "Bacterial small subunit ribosomal RNA", at positions 355 to 913 of the family's 1533-position model. The record is from RNAcentral.
UGGGGAAUUUUGGACAAUGGGCGAAAGCCUGAUCCAGCAAUGCCGCGUGUGUGAAGAAGGCCUUCGGGUUGUAAAGCACUUUUGUCCGGAAAGAAAUCCUUGGCUCUAAUACAGUCGGGGGAUGACGGUACCGGAAGAAUAAGCACCGGCUAACUACGUGCCAGCAGCCGCGGUAAUACGUAGGGUGCAAGCGUUAAUCGGAAUUACUGGGCGUAAAGCGUGCGCAGGCGGUUUGCUAAGACCGAUGUGAAAUCCCCGGGCUCAACCUGGGAACUGCAUUGGUGACUGGCAGGCUAGAGUAUGGCAGAGGGGGGUAGAAUUCCACGUGUAGCAGUGAAAUGCGUAGAGAUGUGGAGGAAUACCGAUGGCGAAGGCAGCCCCCUGGGCCAAUACUGACGCUCAUGCACGAAAGCGUGGGGAGCAAACAGGAUUAGAUACCCUGGUAGUCCACGCCCUAAACGAUGUCAACUAGUUGUUGGGGAUUCAUUUCCUUAGUAACGUAGCUAACGCGUGAAGUUGACCGCCUGGGGAGUACGGUCGCAAGAUUAAAACUCAAAUGAAUUGG